This is a non-coding RNA of Caenorhabditis elegans, 160 nucleotides long. The record is from Ensembl. Lineage: Eukaryota; Metazoa; Nematoda; Chromadorea; Rhabditida; Rhabditidae.
AAAAAAGAAAAAAAGAAAACCGCAAUUUUGCAUCGUCAAAAGCAGGUAUUUUGUGACGAUGGCGCAAUGCAAAAAAAUGGAGUAGGCGGUGGCGGAGGGGGCAGAAGUGAAUUGAUUGAUCAUCAGAAGACGAACGGCAAAGUGAAAGUAUAGAAGGACG